This 499-nucleotide ribosomal RNA is filed under the name uncultured bacterium. RNAcentral's name for it is "partial 16S ribosomal RNA". It matches the Rfam family "Bacterial small subunit ribosomal RNA", at positions 30 to 523 of the family's 1533-position model. The record is from RNAcentral.
AUUGAACGCUGGCGGCAUGCUUUACACAUGCAAGUCGAACGGUAACAGGGUGCUUGCACCGCUGACGAGUGGCGAACGGGUGAGUAAUGCGUCGGAACGCACCGAGUAAUGGGGGAUAACGCAGCGAAAGCUGUGCUAAUACCGCAUACGCUCUGAGAAGGAAAGCGGGGGACCUUCGGGCCUCCCGUUAUUCGAGCGGCCGACGUCUGAUUAGCUAGUAGGUGAGGUAAGAGCUCACCUAGGCGACGAUCAGUAGCGGGUCUGAGAGGAUGAUCCGCCACACUGGGACUGAGACACGGCCCAGACUCCUACGGGAGGCAGCAGUGGGGAAUUUUGGACAAUGGGCGCAGCCUGAUCCAGCCAUGCCGCGUGUCUGAAGAAGGCCUUCGGGUUGUAAAGGACUUUUGUCAGGGAGGAAAUCCCUAGUGCUAAUAACACUGGGGGAUGACAGUACCUGAAGAAUAAGCACCGGCUAACUACGUGCCAGCAGCCGCCGCAG